This 267-nucleotide ribosomal RNA is filed under the name uncultured Cytophagales bacterium. RNAcentral's name for it is "partial 16S small subunit ribosomal RNA". It matches the Rfam family "Bacterial small subunit ribosomal RNA", at positions 1106 to 1373 of the family's 1533-position model. The record is from RNAcentral. Lineage: Bacteria; Pseudomonadati; Bacteroidota; Sphingobacteriia; Sphingobacteriales.
UAUUCUUAGUUGCCAGCGGUUCGGCCGGGGACUCUAAGAAGACUGCCAGCGCAAGCUGUGAGGAAGGUGGGGAUGACGUCAAAUCAUCACGGCCCUUACGUCCUGGGCUACACACGUGCUACAAUGGUAGAGACAGAGGGCAGCCACCUGGUGACAGGGAGCGAAUCCUUAAACUCUAUCUCAGUUCGGAUCGAAGUCUGCAACUCGACUUCGUGAAGCUGGAAUCGCUAGUAAUCGCGCAUCAGCCAUGGCGCGGUGAAUACGUUC